RNAcentral lists this transfer RNA (68 nucleotides) under Trimusculus reticulatus. RNAcentral's name for it is "tRNA-Thr". It matches the Rfam family "tRNA". From Rfam's summary of the family: Transfer RNA (tRNA) molecules are approximately 80 nucleotides in length. Their secondary structure includes four short double-helical elements and three loops (D, anti-codon, and T loops). Lineage: Eukaryota; Metazoa; Mollusca; Gastropoda; Ellobiida; Trimusculidae. The record is from RNAcentral.
GCCGAGGUAGCUUAAAACUUAAAGCUUUGAUUUUGUAAUUCAAGGAUAGAGGCCCCCUCUCCCCGGUU